AUUGAACGCUGGCGGCAUGCCUUACACAUGCAAGUCGAACGGCAGCACGGUUGCUUGCACCUGGUGGCGAGUGGCGAACGGGUGAGUAAUACAUCGGAACAUGUCCUGUCGUGGGGGUUAGCCCGGCGAAAGCCGGAUUAAUACCGCAUACGAUCUACGGCUGAAAGCGGGGGCCCUUCGGGCCUCGCGCUAUAGGGUUGGCCGAUGGCUGAUUAGCUAGUUGGUGGGGUAAAGGCCUACCAAGGCGACGAUCAGUAGCUGGUCUGAGAGGACGACCAGCCACACUGGGACUGAGACACGGCCCAGACUCCUACGGGAGGCAGCAGUGGGGAAUUUUGGACAAUGGGCGAAAGCCUGAUCCAGCAAUGCCGCGUGUGUGAAGAAGGCCUUCGGGUUGUAAAGCACUUUUGUCCGGAAAGAAAUGCUUGGCCCUAAUACGGUCGGGGGAUGACGGUACCGGAAGAAUAAGCACCGGCUAACUACGUG
Molecule: ribosomal RNA, 486 nt
Filed under: uncultured bacterium
Lineage: Bacteria
Description: partial 16S ribosomal RNA
Rfam family: Bacterial small subunit ribosomal RNA
Source: RNAcentral